This is a non-coding RNA of Acanthosepion pharaonis, 108 nucleotides long. The record is from the annotation of a GenBank genome assembly. Lineage: Eukaryota; Metazoa; Mollusca; Cephalopoda; Sepiida; Sepiidae.
UAGCCAUAUCAUUUUGAAACACCGGCUCUCAUACGAACACCAAAGUUAAGCAAUGAUGAGUUUGGUUAUUAUUGAGAUGGGGGACUACUUGGGAAUACCAGGUGUUGU